ACUCUGGGACAAGCCCUGGAAACGGGGUCUAAUACCGGAUACCAGCNUCCCGGGCAUCUGGGAGGUUGGAAAGCUCCGGCGGUGCAGGAUGAGCCCNCGGCCUAUCAGCUUGUUGGUGAGGUAACGGCUCACCAAGGCGACGACGGGUAGCCGGCCUGAGAGGGCGACCGGCCACACUGNGACUGAGACACGGCCCAGACUCCUACGGGAGGCAGCAGUGGGGAAUAUUGCACAAUGGGCGAAAGCCUGAUGCAGCGACGCCGCGUGAGGGAUGACGGCCUUCGGGUUGUAAACCUCUUUCAGCAGGGAAGAAGCGAGAGUGACGGUACCUGCAGAAGAAGCGCCGGCUAACUACGUGCCAGCAGCCGCGGUAAUACGUAGGGCGCAAGCGUUGUCCGGAAUUAUUGGGCGUAAAGAGCUCGUAGGCGGCUUGUCGCGUCGAUUGUGAAAGCCCGGGGCUUAACUCCGGGUCUGCAGUCGAUACGGGCAGGCUAGAGUGUGGUAGGGGAGAUCGGAAUUCCUGGUGUAGCGGUGAAAUGCGCAAAUAUCACGAGGAACACCGGUGGCGAAGGCGGAUCUCUGGGCCAUUACUGACGCUGAGGAGCGAAAGCGUGGGGAGCGAACAGGAUUAGAUACCCUGGUAGUCCACGCCGUAAACGGUGGGCACUAGGUGUUGGCGACAUUCCACGUCGUCGGUGCCGCAGCUAACGCAUUAAGUGCCCCGCCUGGGGAGUACGGCCGCAAGGCUAAAACUCAAAGGAAUUGACGGGGGCCCGCACAAGCGGCGGAGCAUGUGGCUUAAUUCGACGCAACGCGAAGAACCUUACCAAGGCUUGACAUACACCGGAAACAUCCAGAGAUGGGUGCCCCCUUGUGGUCGGUGUACAGGUGGUGCAUGGCUGUCGUCAGCUCGUGUCGUGAGAUGUUGGGUUAAGUCCCGCAACGAGCGCAACCCUUGUCCCGUGUUGCCAGCAGGCCCUUGUGGUGCUGGGGACUCACGGGAGACCGCCGGGGUCAACUCGGAGGAAGGUGGGGACGACGUCAAGUCAUCAUGCCCCUUAUGUCUUGGGCUGCACACGUGCUACAAUGGCCGGUACAAUGAGCUGCGAUACCGUGAGGUGGAGCGAAUCUCAAAAAGCCGGUCUCAGUUCGGAUUGGGGUCUGCAACUCGACCCCAUGAAGUCGGAGUCGCUAGUAAUCGCAGAUCAG
This 1209-nucleotide ribosomal RNA is filed under the name Streptomyces sp. Its description in RNAcentral is "bacterial SSU rRNA". It matches the Rfam family "Bacterial small subunit ribosomal RNA", at positions 135 to 1352 of the family's 1533-position model. The record is from RNAcentral. Lineage: Bacteria; Bacillati; Actinomycetota; Actinomycetes; Kitasatosporales; Streptomycetaceae.